UGCUGCUGCUGCACGUUCAUGGCCUUUACAGGACAACAAACAUGUUUGCACUGUCGGAUUAUUUUCCUGAGUGUAAAGCGAUGACGGAUUAAUAAGACAAGGGAGGGGUUGUGAGAAAGAGAGAGAGAGGAAGAAGAAGAAGAAAAAAGCAGCUUGUCACGAGGGCAAAUAAUGCAGAGUGUAGCCAAUGGAAUGACCUCUAUCUGCACACAGGUCAUUUUCCUGCCUGUGUCCUUGGAUUUACUAUAGUCUGUGUCACAACUCUUGAAAUACAAGACCUAUUUGAGUUUCAUCUACCAGCUAUUCCAUUAUAACCUUUAAUAACUUAGUCACACAAACUCUCCCACAGGAAUUAAUCUGGAGACAUGACAUUCAGACAUGAGACCUAUAGGUUCGUGUGGAGGGGAGGACGGCGCGAUCUCUGUUUCUAUUGGACGACAGGGCCGUCAAUCACUUCCCGGGCCAAUAGGAGAGGUAUGAGGGAGGAGAUGGAGGGGAAAAGGGGGCGUGGUUUGCCUAAUCUCGACCCUUGCUGCGACCUUUCCUCUGCUGUGAUGGAUGACUGUGGAAUUAUAUGGAAUCUGCUUCUGCUGCUGGUUUUACAUCUGUCUCUAAUCCCUAAUCCUAAUCCCGAAGUUCACAUGGACCGAGAGAGAGUUGUACAUUCAACAUAUAUAUAUGUAUAUAUGGCACAUAUUAAUUAUAGUGUUGUAAUGUAAUGAAUGGUGAUAUUGACAUGUAAAUGACAAUGAUAAUAUGUUUAAUUGAGAAUAAGAUAUAAAUAAAACUAAAGAUACA
Molecule: long non-coding RNA, 798 nt
Organism: Solea senegalensis (Senegalese sole)
Lineage: Eukaryota; Metazoa; Chordata; Actinopteri; Pleuronectiformes; Soleidae
Exons: 2
Source: RefSeq, a predicted model, not a curated record